Molecule: ribosomal RNA, 405 nt
Filed under: uncultured bacterium
Lineage: Bacteria
Description: partial 16S ribosomal RNA
Rfam family: Bacterial small subunit ribosomal RNA
Source: RNAcentral
AUACGGAGGAUGCGAGCGUUAUCCGGAUUUAUUGGGUUUAAAGGGUGCGUAGGCGGACGAUUAAGUCAGCUGUGAAAUGCCCGCGCUUAACGCGGGAAGUGCAGUUGAUACUGGUUGUCUGGAGUGCCGUUGCCGUGGGGGGAAUGUGUAGUGUAGCGGUGAAAUGCAUAGAUAUUACACAGAACGCCGAUUGUGAAGAACACCAGUGGCGAAGGCGGCUUACUGGGCCACAACUGACGCUGAGGCACGAAAGCGUGGGGAGCAAACAGGAUUAGAUACCCUGGUAGUCCACGCUGUAAACGAUGAAUACUAAGUGUUGGAAAAAUCCAGUGCUGAAGUUAACGCAUUAAGUAUUCCGCCUGAGGAGUACGUACGCAAGUAUGAAACUCAAAUGAAUUGACGGGG